CACGUAGGGCGCGAGCGUUGUCCGGAAUUAUUGGGCGUAAAGAGCUCGUAGGCGGCCUGUUGCGUCCGCUGUGAAAGCCCGGGGCUUAACCCCGGGUCGGCAGUGGAUACGGGCAGGCUAGAGGUAGGUAGGGGAGAAUGGAAUUCCCGGUGUAGCGGUGAAAUGCGCAGAUAUCGGGAGGAACACCGGUGGCGAAGGCGGUUCUCUGGGCCUUACCUGACGCUGAGGAGCGAAAGCGUGGGGAGC
This 246-nucleotide ribosomal RNA is filed under the name uncultured bacterium. RNAcentral's name for it is "partial 16S ribosomal RNA". It matches the Rfam family "Bacterial small subunit ribosomal RNA", at positions 524 to 769 of the family's 1533-position model. The record is from RNAcentral.